RNAcentral lists this ribosomal RNA (118 nucleotides) under Lachnospiraceae bacterium. RNAcentral describes it as "partial 23S ribosomal RNA". It matches the Rfam family "Bacterial large subunit ribosomal RNA", at positions 2805 to 2925 of the family's 2925-position model. Lineage: Bacteria; Bacillati; Bacillota; Clostridia; Lachnospirales; Lachnospiraceae. The record is from RNAcentral.
UGAGAUAUCCCAGGAGUGAUCCUAAGACCCCUUGGAGAGUACGAGGUAGAUAGGCAUGAGGUGUAAGCACAGCAAUGUGUUCAGCUGACAUGUACUAAUCGGUCGAGGGCUUAACCAC